GACGGGUCUGUUUGGGUUUCGGGUUUUUGGGAUCAAAUAUUUCAGCCCCAUUUGGAUAUUUCUAAAUUUCGGUCUGGGUUCGGUUCAUAUCUUUGCGGGUUUGAUUUGGAUUAGAAUAACCCAUUUAAACAUUUUUUAAUUUUUUAAAAUUCAUUAUAUACUCUAAAUUUCCCAAAAUCUAAAAAAAAAAUAAUAUAUUACAUAUAAAUUUGAAUAACGUAUGUUAGAGUGUCUAAACUUAACAUAUAAAUUGGUUUGGUUUAAAUAUUUGGACAGAGAAUCAAUA
This 286-nucleotide long non-coding RNA is filed under the name Brassica napus (rape). RNAcentral's name for it is "long non-coding RNA (BNAP_LNC020849)". The record is from RNAcentral. Lineage: Eukaryota; Viridiplantae; Streptophyta; Magnoliopsida; Brassicales; Brassicaceae.